This 459-nucleotide ribosomal RNA is filed under the name uncultured Alicycliphilus sp. RNAcentral's name for it is "bacterial SSU rRNA". It matches the Rfam family "Bacterial small subunit ribosomal RNA", at positions 912 to 1382 of the family's 1533-position model. The record is from RNAcentral. Lineage: Bacteria; Pseudomonadati; Pseudomonadota; Betaproteobacteria; Burkholderiales; Comamonadaceae.
AGACGGGGACCCGCACAAGCGGUGGAUGAUGUGGUUUAAUUCGAUGCAACGCGAAAAACCUUUACCCACCUUUGACAUGUAUGGAAGUUUCCAGAGAUGGAUUCGUGCUCGAAAGAGAGCCAUAACACAGGUGCUGCAUGGCUGUCGUCAGCUCGUGUCGUGAGAUGUUCGGUUAAGUCCGCUAACGAGCGCAACCCUCGCUGUGUGUUACAAGUGUCACACAGGACCGCCGGUCUUAAGCCGGAGGAAGGUGGGAUGACGUCAAGUCAGCAUGGCCUUUAUGUCCAGGGCUACACACACGCUACAAUGGUCGGCACAAUAGGUAGCCAAGCCGCGAGGUGGAGCCAAUCCUCAAAGCUGGCCUCAGUUCAGAUCGCAGGCUGCAACCCGCCUGCGUGAAGCCGGAGUUGCUAGUAACCGCAGGUCAGCUAUACUGCGGUGAAUACGUUCCCGGGGCUU